RNAcentral lists this ribosomal RNA (221 nucleotides) under Octostruma sp. JTL026. Its description in RNAcentral is "partial large subunit ribosomal RNA". The record is from RNAcentral. Lineage: Eukaryota; Metazoa; Arthropoda; Insecta; Hymenoptera; Formicidae.
GAAUUUUAUAUAAAUUUAUUAAAUAUUUAAUUUGGAUUUAUAAAUAAUAACUAUUAUAUUUAAUUGGGGGGAUUGUUAAAUAAAUGAAACUUUAAUUAAAAAAGAACAUAAAUUAGUGGUUGGAAAAAAUUAGGAAUUAUUAUUAAAUUAGAGUAGAAUAAAUUACCUUAGGGAUAACAGCGUUAUAUUUUUAAAGAGUUCAUAUUGAUAAAAAUGUUUGC